This 398-nucleotide ribosomal RNA is filed under the name uncultured prokaryote. RNAcentral's name for it is "partial 16S ribosomal RNA". The record is from RNAcentral.
CCCUAUGGGGUGCAGCAGGCAGGCGCACCGGGUCCUGUAUCUGGCAAGCGAGCUUGCCAAGGCAGUCAACGCCUUCUACCAGAAGGAGAAGGUAUUGCAGGAAGACCAGGACGUUGCCAGGUCCCGCAUGUUGCUCGUACGGGCAUCGCAGCAGGUACUGCUGGCAUACGCCCAGAUACUCGGCAUUCAUCUUCCUGACACCAUGUAGUGCGCCGGGCACUGCAACGAGUGAGGUUCCAACUAUGAAAGACGUACGCAAAGCGCGACUGGAAUCCUUUAUCCGCAGGAGCGUCGAGGCGGAACUGGUUCUCAUGGACGACCCCGACUUGCGUCUCCUGACAGUGACGCGCAUAGAGCUGUCCAAUGACACGAGACUUGCAAAGGUGUUCGUUUCGAGC